Hippoglossus stenolepis (Pacific halibut) is the source of this 2853-nucleotide long non-coding RNA. RefSeq lists it as uncharacterized. The record is from RefSeq and is a predicted model, not a curated record. Lineage: Eukaryota; Metazoa; Chordata; Actinopteri; Pleuronectiformes; Pleuronectidae. The transcript has 4 exons.
AACCAGCAGCUCAGACGCCAGCAGCGGACACACAACAGACAACCGACACACAGCUGAUCUGCGGCGGGACGACAGUCAGUGAGUCCAGAGAGUUCGGGGAUCUCACCCCGAUGCACCUCCCUCCAUCGGGGUGAGACUUGUGUGUUGAGCCUUCAAAUGUCUUAACUUCUUUCUCCUCUUUUCGUAUUGUUUUUUUUUUGCAUCGCUUCGGAGGUGGAGACCCGUCAGGACGAGCGCGUCGCCUCCCCAGGAGCGCGCACAUUGGCACAGGCUGGAACAAAACAGAGAGACGCAGCUCAGUGCAGCGCAGGCAGCUUUCCGUUUUAAAAGCAGCACGGGAGGCAGGAGAGUUUCGGAGUGCGCGCGGGGGAAGCGGUGCAAGUGUCGGCUGCACCAGGGGGACCGACGCCUUCUUCUGUGAAUAAAAAAACACCCCACCGGGAUACCGGGACGAACACUUGGAUAUGGCGGGUGUGAAGGCGAUCGACCUUCUCCUUGGAGUUGUUGUAGUUUUGCAGUGCGUGGGGAACGUCCGAGCCGAGAUCACAGCCAGGACGCAGACGGCGACUCCGGCUACGAGCAGCAGCAGUCCAAUGGCGAUGCCAGUGUACACAGCAUCUAAACAGAAGGGAGGUGGAUGUAAUUCUUGCAAAGACGAGGGGCUUCAAUGAACUGCAGAGACAUUGAUGCAAGGAUACAGAAAACAGAUUGAGGACAGUCGGGGACACCGUCGCAGCGCAGUAUGGACGGGAGGCACUGAAAGUCUGAACACUGAUAAAACCCAAUGGGACAGAGGAGCUGAGGAGGAAUAGUCCCAGGUACCAAGGCCGGACAGUGCUCUUCAUCGGACUGAUCAGCACAGUCGGGCUCUUUGUCACACCUCCAGCUCUGUGGGAUGCACUGGAAGGAGUAGGCACACUGGAACUGGUCCGUUCUGCAGGUCGGAGGCUGGGGAGUCACUGGUCCUGUUGGGACACAUAAAUACAGAUAAACACAGUGAGAUGAGCAAUCUGUUCUUAUUGAGUUUAGCUCACACGCAGCGAGAAUCCUGGAGUGAGGAAUCUCAGAGGAAUGUUUUGAGACAGUGUUGAAAACAGAGAGGUUUGCUAAUGGCUACAGUUCAGAGAGGGAGAUCAGGGGUGGAGGGAGGAAACACAGUAAAAAACACAUAGUAAAUGUAACUGCUUUCCCCCCAUACUGCCCUCCAUCAUGUCCCUCAAUGCCGAUCCAGGCUCCAUUAUAUACUGUAUAUGGACCUGCAGGGCAACAGGCUCCAUUAACUCACUACACACUUCAGGAAGGUCCCCACAAUUUAUAUGGAAACAAAGAGCGUGGAUGAUGGAGAACAGAAAAUUGGAGAAAAACAAGCAUGAAAAAUGUGCUGGCACGGCCGAACAUGAGGAAAAACAAAAAAAGUAAUUGGAAGUGUAUAAGGGCACAACGACCCCAGGGAGGAAGAGAGAAAUAUUAAAUAAUAGCUUUACCUACAAACCCACACUCUGGAGUGAAGGAGACGUCAUCCAGGGCGAUGUCCGUCCACUUGUCUCCACCCACCUCUGCCUGGAAGGUCACUCUGAAAGGUGCCGAGUUGGACAGGAGGACGUUGGCGUAUGUCCACUGGCCGCCAUGGUUUCCAGUGGUCGCCCACAUCAACAGACUGAUACCGCUGGGUCCCACAGUGAAGACCUAGAGGUGCAGAGGGAACAUCAACUUGAGGGACACUUUCAUUCCUUCCUGUGGGUAUCAGGUGAUUGACGGUGGGCGACGUGGAACAUAGCGAGAGGCUUGGAGAAAAACAGGACAGACAUUUCUGACGAAGACAAAAUUAAGCCUUCAGGUUGACUUUGAUGGAUCGUCUGGCAGCGAAUGACAAAGAAAGACAAACAUGUUUGGAAGCUUGAUGCCCGAGGAAAAAAAAACGAAAAAAAACCCCAACUUUGAAUAGUUUAUGGAAAUGCAGCAGAGACGAGAUCACCUUCAGCGUUCCCAUCUUGUCUGAGCCGUGCAUGAAGAACCAGAAGCGCAGGUGACACAGGCCGACGCUGCCCGGAAACGGACGCCUCGUCGUCAGCUUGGCAAUGUCACCCUCCCUCUGAGUGGCUGAGUUCACAUACAGGAAGUUCCCUCCACCACCUUUGGAGAUAAACACAGAUAAAGACGCUUCACAUCUGCGUUACAUGCAGGGAAAAGAAAAUACCCACAGCUAAAUCCUGCUCAACCAAGCAAUUUCUGCUUUGCUGCUGGAAAAGAAAUCCAAUAACUUUCUUGUGUUGAUUCCAAUACACAAUAUUUUGACAGAAGAAAGCGUUUGUGCUGUUGUGAAACGUUGCAGCCAGAAGCCAGAAGCUCCACAGAUCUUCGGCGCGGCUGGGGCUGGAGGAUGAGACGGCAUGUGAGCCACGCCAGAACAAAGUGCAAGUUUUCCACAUGAGUUAAAGGGGAUUUGAGCACAAUUCCGAGCACGCAGCAAACUGUGCUCGCACCCAUAACACUGGAUUCUUCCUCUGACUCAAAGAGAUGAAUAAUCCAAAUGAAAAGGAAAAAUACCCCAAAAAUUCACAUUGGAAAAUGUUAUUUUCCUGAUAAGGCUUAUGCGUGAUGUCUGCAGGGUCAUGUCUUGUCCUUUUUCAGCUCUCAUGUAUGCGUGUGUACUUUUUGCAAACAAUUCAAAGUAUAGAACAUACACUGUAUUUAAAAUGGACGUAGAUUCUGGUUCUGGAAAUAUAACCCAAUGCUUUCUGUUGAGUAUUUUUGAAUGUUUUCUUUCGAAUGACCGGCAAUAGGCGGUUUCUAUUGAAGUCUAUGAGAUACAAAAACUUGAUUUAUAACGUCAGUAAACAUUUUCUAAAGGAA